This 433-nucleotide ribosomal RNA is filed under the name uncultured bacterium. Its description in RNAcentral is "partial 16S ribosomal RNA". It matches the Rfam family "Bacterial small subunit ribosomal RNA", at positions 29 to 507 of the family's 1533-position model. The record is from RNAcentral.
AACGAACGCUGGCGGCAUGCCUAACACAUGCAAGUCGAACGAGACCUUCGGGUCUAGUGGCGCACGGGUGCGUAACGCGUGGGAACCUGCCCUUAGGUUCGGAAUAACUCCCCGAAAGGGGUGCUAAUACCGGAUAAUGUCUUCGGACCAAAGAUUUAUCGCCUUUGGAUGGGCCCGCGUUGGAUUAGCUAGUUGGUAGGGUAAAAGCCUACCAAGGCGACGAUCCAUAGCUGGUCUGAGAGGAUGAUCAGCCACACUGGGACUGAGACACGGCCCAGACUCCUACGGGAGGCAGCAGUGGGGAACAUUGGACAAUGGGCGAAAGCCUGAUCCAGCAAUGCCGCGUGAGUGAUGAAGGCCUUAGGGUUGUAAGGCUCUUUUACCCGGGAUGAUAAUGACAGUACCGGGAGAAUAAGCUCCGGCUAACUCCGUG